UAAAUGUCAUCCUAGUUUUCACGCCUUGUGAGCGGGUUUUGAGUGGUCAUUGGGUUAGAAUGUUUCGCUAUAACCUGGCAACCCUGUCAAUGGCGCAGCCGGUCCUCUAUCUCUGAGUCAACAUGUUAUGGAAAAUCAAGCAUAUGAUGGCCUUCAUUGAACAGGAAGCCAAUGAGAAAGCAGAAGAAAUUGACGCAAAGACAGAAGUGGAGUUUAACAUUGAAGAGGGCUGUCUGGACCUCAAGAUCAUGGCGUAUUAUGAGAAAAAAUAAAAUUCAGAUCGACCAGCAGAAGAACAUAUGAUGCCUGAGGUUAGAGUGGCUCUUUUCUGUGCCAACCUGAACCGUACAUUUUUAGGAUUAACAGGUGAUGCUGAGGGAGACAAAGGUUAAGGUAUCAUUGGAUGUGCUACUGGGAACAAGCCUCUUAUUUGGACUGGAUAUGUGGAAAGUUGAGCAGAGCCUAAGAACACCCGGUCUCUGUGACGCCCAGAAUGUUUGUUUUCUGAGGGAAUGGUUAAACAUGGAAAAGAACACCAUGGUCAUCUUCAUCUUCCCAACUUCAAGCACUUAUCUCUAGGAUCUUCCAAAGUAAGAAACUUGUUUAUGGGACACGAUGUGAGGGAGAAUGUGUGUUAAGGGUAGUGUUUUAUCCUACCUCCUCAGUUUACCACUGCUCCCUUCCCAGCACUGUGGGUUAUCUGAUUGUAAUCUACACUGCAAAACAUAUAUGAAUGCAACAAUUCCCAAAAUUUGACUUAGGUACAGUUCAUAUAAGGAAAUCAGUCAAUUGAAAUAAAUUCAUUAGGCACUAAUUUAUAGAUUUCACAUGACCGGACAUGGGU
Molecule: long non-coding RNA, 844 nt
Organism: Oncorhynchus tshawytscha (Chinook salmon)
Lineage: Eukaryota; Metazoa; Chordata; Actinopteri; Salmoniformes; Salmonidae
Exons: 4
Source: RefSeq, a predicted model, not a curated record